RNAcentral lists this ribosomal RNA (414 nucleotides) under uncultured soil bacterium. Its description in RNAcentral is "bacterial SSU rRNA". It matches the Rfam family "Bacterial small subunit ribosomal RNA", at positions 26 to 535 of the family's 1533-position model. The record is from RNAcentral.
AGAGUGAACGCUGGCGGCAGGCCUAAUACAUGCAAGUCGAACGGCAGCACAGCAGAGCUUGCUCUGUGGGUGGCGAGUGGCGGACGGGUGAGGAAUACAUGGGAAUCUGCCCAGUCGUGGGGGAUAACGUAUGGAAACGUACGCUAAUACCGCAUGCGCCCUUCGGGGGAAAGCCGGGACCUUCGGGCCUGGCGCGAUUGGAUGAGCCCAUGUCGGAUUAGCUAGUUGGCGGGUAAAGGCCCACAAGGCGACGAUCCGUAGCUGGUCUGGAGAGGAUGGAUCCAGCCACAACUGGAACUGAGACCACGGUCCAGACCUCGACGGGAGGCAGCAGUAGGGAUAGUGGGACAAGUGGGACGCGAAGCCGUGACGUUCCAGCCCGAAUCGGCCGUACGUGUAGGUACGAAGUAACGG